GAUGAACGCUGGCGGCGUGCCUAAUACAUGCCAGUCGAGCGAACAGACGAGGAGCUUGCUCCUCUGACGUUAGCGGCGGACGGGUGAGUAACACGUGGAUAACCUACCUAUAAGACUGGGAUAACUUCGGGAAACCGGAGCUAAUACCGGAUAAUAUAUUGAACCGCAUGGUUCAAUAGUGAAAGACGGUUUUGCUGUCACUUAUAGAUGGAUCCGCGCCGCAUUAGCUAGUUGGUAAGGUAACGGCUUACCAAGGCAACGAUGCGUAGCCGACCUGAGAGGGUGAUAGGCCACCCGGGAACUGAGACACGGUCCAGACUCCUACGGGAGGCAGCAGUAGGGAAUCUUCCGCAAUGGGCGAAAGCCUGACGGAGCAACGCCGCGUGAGUGAUGAAGGUCUUCGGAUCGUAAAACUCUGUUAUUAGGGAAGAACAAAUGUGUAAGUAACUAUGCACGUCUUGACGGUACCUAAUCAGAAAGCCACGGCUAACUACGUG
Molecule: ribosomal RNA, 497 nt
Filed under: uncultured bacterium
Lineage: Bacteria
Description: partial 16S ribosomal RNA
Rfam family: Bacterial small subunit ribosomal RNA
Source: RNAcentral